RNAcentral lists this ribosomal RNA (497 nucleotides) under uncultured bacterium. RNAcentral's name for it is "partial 16S ribosomal RNA". It matches the Rfam family "Bacterial small subunit ribosomal RNA", at positions 28 to 507 of the family's 1533-position model. The record is from RNAcentral.
GAUGAACGCUGGCGGCGUGCCUAAUACAUGCAAGUCGAGCGAACAGACGAGGAGCUUGCUCCUCUGACGUUAGCGGCGGACGGGUGAGUAACACGUGGAUAACCUACCUACAAGACUGGGAUAACUUCGGGAAACCGGAGCUAAUACCGGAUAAUAUAUUGAACCGCAUGGUUCAAUAGUGAAAGACGGUUUUGCUGUCACUUAUAGAUGGAUCCGCGCCGCAUUAGCUAGUUGGUAAGGUAACGGCUUACCAAGGCGACGAUGCGUAGCCGACCUGAGAGGGUGAUCGGCCACACUGGAACUGAGACACGGUCCAGACUCCUACGGGAGGCAGCAGUAGGGAAUCUUCCGCAAUGGGCGAAAGCCUGACGGAGCAACGCCGCGUGAGUGAUGAAGGUCUUCGGAUCGUAAAACUCUGUUAUUAGGGAAGAACAAAUGUGUAAGUAACUAUGCACGUCUUGACGGUACCUAAUCAGAAAGCCACGGCUAACUACGUG